RNAcentral lists this small RNA (145 nucleotides) under Pseudomonas inefficax. RNAcentral's name for it is "Pseudomonas sp. JV551A3 P14". It matches the Rfam family "Pseudomonas sRNA P14". RNAcentral also lists the same sequence under 1 other name. Lineage: Bacteria; Pseudomonadati; Pseudomonadota; Gammaproteobacteria; Pseudomonadales; Pseudomonadaceae. The record is from RNAcentral.
CUGGACGUUUUUUUCACAAGCGUGUCGCAAAUCUUGUCGGAAGGGCGUCAAGCAACAUUUUUUUUGCAGUUCUUGCGCUUAGUCAGUUUACUUACUACAAGUAAUGGGUACUAUGUACGCCGGCCAGUUUCUCUUUUCCGAGAGA